Molecule: ribosomal RNA, 119 nt
Filed under: Triticum aestivum (bread wheat)
Lineage: Eukaryota; Viridiplantae; Streptophyta; Magnoliopsida; Poales; Poaceae
Source: RNAcentral
GGAUGCGAUCAUACCAGCACUAAAGCACCGGAUCCCAUCAGAACUCCGAAGUUAAGCGUGCUUGGGCAAGAGUAGUACUAGGAUGGGUGACCUCCUGGGAAGUCCUCGUGUUGCGUUCC